Molecule: non-coding RNA, 3257 nt
Organism: Maylandia zebra (zebra mbuna)
Lineage: Eukaryota; Metazoa; Chordata; Actinopteri; Cichliformes; Cichlidae
Source: RefSeq, a predicted model, not a curated record
AAGACACACAACUUUGUGUGCAUGUGUCACAAUGCCAGGAGGACCCAUUCAGUGUUGUGUUAGAAAAAUUGAACUCAUUAACCCUUCAUGGACAUUAUAAAUGUUUAAAUGUUGCCUCAGGUAAAGACAGGAAAAGAGACUAUUACAAAUUCAACUGCAUCAGAGCUGGGAAAAAAAGUUGAAACAGCUACAGAGCAGUGGGCUGUAAGGCCUAUGUUUCAUUUAAAGUACUCAAAUGUUGGAAAGACCACACAGUCAUCGUGCAGCGUACAUAUGAUAAGCAUGAUGGGCAUGAUCCUUCGGACCCAAAAGACGCACAUUUCAACAAUAUUUCCAGUGAUUUGAGGAGGAAGAUUGAGGAACUGCUUUCCCUUGGAACUAAGCCAGCCAUCAUACUAACCGAAUGUCAUAAAUGGGCCAAAGAACAUGGACACAGAGAUCUUCACAACAGAGAGCAUUUUGUCACACCACGUGACAUUGACAGUGUUAGAACCUGCAUGAUGAGGAAGAAGCACUUUAACUGUGGAGACAGUCAAAGUGUACAUACCUUACUUAAUGGAAAACAUCAAGAACAUGUUCUCUUCUAUCAACCAUACACAUCUGACCAAGAACUAAUGAUUGUUUUGCAGACACCUGUAAUGAAAUCAAACAUGGAGAACUAUGCAAAACAGUUAGUAUUUGUUGACACCACGCACUGCGUUAACCAGUAUUCAUUUCCCUUAUUCACACUUGUUGUAAGAGAUGAUCAUGGGCAUGGAGUCCCUGUGGCCUAUGCUAUUGUCAGCAACGAAAGUCAGAAAACCCUGGAAACUGUUCUUGGAAUAGUUUGUGAGCAUUUCCCAACUUCCCCGAGGUAAAUAAUACAUUGACAGCUAUUAAUUUUGAAAUAAUUCCUUUUCAAAAAAGUUAUAACAUGCCAGAAUCUAAUGCUAUAGCUGCAGCAUGGGCUGCAAAAAACUUUCCUUUCCAGUUGUUAAAGUUAUUCCUAUAGGCUGUAUGCAGUAUUUUAUACAUCUACUUGUGAGUUGAAAUGUUUAAUUUGGCAUUGAAGUGGUGCUUUGAGAUAGCAAAAACAUUUUCAUACUGUUUAAUCUCAUUUAGUGUUUUCUUUUUUUCUGUAGAGCAUUUAUGGUUGACAAAGACUUUGCGGAAAUAAAUGCUUUGCAGAAGGUUUUUCCAGAGUCAGCUAUCCUUCUAUGCUGGUACCAUGUCUUGCAGGCUGUUAAUCGAUGGCUUUCAAAAUCAGAGUCCGGGGUCCAUGGGCUUUCUAAAACCCAAAAGAGAAAUGAAAUCAUUUCUUUCUUUUGUAAGCUGAAAGCUUGCACAUCUGUAAGUGUAAUUUGUCUAUUUCACAUUUUGAUUUCUUGAUUACACUAAGAGCAUAAUAACUUUCAGUUGCUAAAAAAAAGUUACAGAGAGAUACAAAAUAAAUUUUUGAAACAAUUUCUAAAACUGGCUUCUUAUCUUGCUUAUCAAAACAAGUACUUAAGCUGUGCAGACCAUCAUUGUGUCACCCACUGUGCAGUAGAACUUGUGAGUGGGAUUCUUUCACAGACAGAUGCUGAAACCAAAUAUGCUUAUAGGUUUAGUGUUCCUUCAUAGCCAUUGUAAGGGAAGAAAUAAUUGCUUCUUAAUACAAAAACACGACAUAUUAUUAAUAACUUAAAAUUCUUAAUGUUAUUCAAUAAAAGGAAAAGGGCUUCAAUACAUAAUAUUAAAGAUUUCAAUAGGUCUGUUAAAUGGAUUGAAAUAUAUUCUGUUGCAUCCAAUUCUCUUAGGAGGACGACUUUAAAGCCACAUCAGCAGAGUUCUGCCAGACAAGCAAUACCCUUUGGUGUGCCAGUAUUUUCAGAAGCACUGGGAAGGCAUUGGCCACAUGUGGUGUGACUACGGCCGUCGCUUCAGUCACGCUCGUUCUAAAACAAACAAUGUGAUUGAAAGAUUUUUCCACCGCCUGAAAUACCAGUUUUUAUCUGGCUACAAGAAUAGGCGUCUGGAUGAUCUGAUUGAAGUGCUCCUAGGGAAGGCCGACGACUACUUCUCAGUCAUAAAAACCCUGCAAGAUGUGGGCCGCAUGAAAAACAGGUUUGCUGACACCUUGUCUCAAGUUUCAGACUCUGCUUCAAGACUGAUGGAAAGUGGUUGGGCUCUUAAAAUUACAGUCAAGAACAGCCAUGGAGUUAAUGCAUAUCAAGUCCCAUCUGAGUCAAGAGAAGACAUGGUGUAUGAUGUCUGCCCUGUUGAGUCCUACUGCAACUGUACAUAUGGCUUACGAGGACUUCUUUGCAAGCAUCUAGUGUUACUUGCAAAAUUAGCAGAGGCUGACAAUGACAUCUAUCCAAACAUGGAAACAGACAUUUCUACCUUGGCAAGAAUUGCAGUGAAAGAAAGGCAUUACUUUGUACACUGUGAGGACUUGAAAGUGAUAAAAAUGCCAAGUUUGUUUGGAAAUCUGUUUUUUUGCAUCGGCUGAAACACUUCAGUGCACUUGUUGUACGUUCUCUCACUAUAACACAUGUGCUUGCCUGAAGGUGGCUUGUAGCCAUUUUAAACAAAUGAAAAACUCUCUGAAAAGUCCUCUAUCAACUUUGAAUGACACUCCUGUAGUUGAAAGCACAGACAAAAAAUGCACAGAAGAUGCAGUUGGAAAACUAAAUGCUGUUUUAGACACAGUUAAACAGUGGGCAUUCAUUCCAGAGGGUAUUACUGCAAUGAUAGAUGAACUGCAUACAAAUGUCUUAAAAACAAAACAAGUAGGCAAAAGUAUAUGCCAGUACGAAAUAAAGACGACAGAUAAUGCACGCAAAAUUAGGCCAUUGUAUUCUAGCAAGAAACGUUCGGCCAGCAUCGACAUUCCAACAGUCUGUGAAAAUGAAUGUGAACAGUCGAUAACCACUGAAAGAGAGACAUCCUCUGGAGAAAAUGAAAACCUUUUGGAAUACAAAACAAAAAAGAGAAGAGUUAAAGCUAAGUAUAUGCACAAGUAGACUUUUGUGUGACAUUUCAAAGGGACUGCAUCCAUUACUUCUGUUUAUUGAAACCUAAAGCUGAAUAGCUGUCUUAACUUUCUGCCAAGGAACAGAUGAAAAGAAAUUGUUUGGUCUCUCAAGCAGUUGUUAUUUAUGUGUGUUAUUCAUUACUUUGGCUUGGUUGCUGUUUUUGAUACAAAUUCAUCUGUGCCCAUUGUAAUAUUUUCACAUGUUACUAUUUUUAUAUUGCUAUGCAUUAUAAAUAAAGGAUUACUUAUUACUAUUAAA